RNAcentral lists this microRNA precursor (151 nucleotides) under Glycine max (soybean). The record is from RNAcentral. Lineage: Eukaryota; Viridiplantae; Streptophyta; Magnoliopsida; Fabales; Fabaceae.
UUAAAGGCAAGCUUGGUGGAAAUGAGAGGUAGAGGGGACCGGUUCAACGGGAUAUUGGUCCGGUUCAAUAAGAAAGCAAUGCUCAAAAUGUUAUUGGGUCCUGUUUUUUCAUUGAGCCGUGCCAAUAUCACGAAACACUUCUCUUCAUACC